RNAcentral lists this signal recognition particle RNA (99 nucleotides) under Ferrovum sp. PN-J185. Its description in RNAcentral is "Bacterial small signal recognition particle RNA". It matches the Rfam family "Bacterial small signal recognition particle RNA". From Rfam's summary of the family: The signal recognition particle (SRP) is a universally conserved ribonucleoprotein involved in the co-translational targeting of proteins to membranes. Lineage: Bacteria; Pseudomonadati; Pseudomonadota; Betaproteobacteria; Ferrovales; Ferrovaceae. RNAcentral also lists the same sequence under 1 other name. The record is from Rfam by way of RNAcentral.
GGCGGGUCUCCUCGCAUUGUGCAGUGGUGAACCUGGUCAGGUCCGGAAGGAAGCAGCCACAACUACAACGUACAAGUGCCGAGGGUUAGGCUCGCCACC